This 108-nucleotide ribosomal RNA is filed under the name uncultured eukaryote. RNAcentral describes it as "partial 18S ribosomal RNA". The record is from RNAcentral.
UCGUGGAGUGAUCUGUCUGCUUUAUUGCGAUAACGAACGAGACCAAUACCUGCUAAAUAGCGGUUAUGACAUUCAGUUGACUGGAUGUUGGGUUGAUGAGGGGAAGAC